UUGAAACUCAAGAGCAUGAAACCGGAAUCUCUCGUAAUCGUGGAUCAUUACGCCACGGUGAAUUAGUACAAGAGUCUCGUACAUACCGCCCGUCAUGCUAUGGAAACUAUUUAUUGUAGAAGUUGCAAG
RNAcentral lists this ribosomal RNA (129 nucleotides) under Aplanochytrium sp. PBS07. RNAcentral describes it as "partial Bacterial small subunit ribosomal RNA". It matches the Rfam family "Bacterial small subunit ribosomal RNA", at positions 1305 to 1433 of the family's 1533-position model. The record is from RNAcentral. Lineage: Eukaryota; Bigyra; Thraustochytrida; Thraustochytriidae.